ACGUAGGGUGCGAGCGUUAAUCGGAAUUACUGGGCGUAAAGCGUGCGCAGGCUGUUUUAUAAGUCAGAUGUGAAAUCCCCGAGCUCAACUUGGGAACUGCGUUUGAUACUGUAAGACUAGAGUGUGUCAGAGGGGGGUAGAAUUCCACGUGUAGCAGUGAAAUGCGUAGAUAUGUGGAGGAAUACCAAUGGCGAAGGCAGCCCCCUGGGAUAACACUGACGCUCAUGCACGAAAGCGUGGGGAGCAAACAGG
This 252-nucleotide ribosomal RNA is filed under the name uncultured bacterium. RNAcentral's name for it is "partial 16S ribosomal RNA". It matches the Rfam family "Bacterial small subunit ribosomal RNA", at positions 525 to 776 of the family's 1533-position model. The record is from RNAcentral.